AGUGAACGCUGGCGGUAGGCCUAACACAUGCAAGUCGAACGGCAGCACAGUAAGAGCUUGCUCUUACGGGUGGCGAGUGGCGGACGGGUGAGGAAUACAUCGGAAUCUACUUUUUCGGGGGGGUUAAGGAGGGGAAACUUAGGCUAUAACCGCAUACGACCUCCGGGUGAAAGCAGGGGACUUUCGGCCCUUGCCGGAUUGAUUGAGCCGAUGUCGGAUUAGCUAGUUGGCGGGGUAAAGGCCAACCAAGGCGACGAUCCGUAGCUGGUCUGAGAGGAUGAUCAGCCACACUGGAACUGAGACACGGUCCAGACUCCUACGGGAGGCAGCAGUGAGGAAUAUUGGACAAUGGGCGCAAGCCUGAUCCAGCCAUACCGCGUGGGUGAAGAAGGCCUUCGGGUUGUAAAGCCCUUUUGUUGGGAAAGAAAAGCAGCAGGUUAAUACCCCGCUGUUCUGACGGUACCCAAAGAAUAAGCACCGGCUAACUUCGUG
This 492-nucleotide ribosomal RNA is filed under the name uncultured bacterium. RNAcentral's name for it is "partial 16S ribosomal RNA". It matches the Rfam family "Bacterial small subunit ribosomal RNA", at positions 29 to 507 of the family's 1533-position model. The record is from RNAcentral.